Molecule: ribosomal RNA, 497 nt
Filed under: uncultured bacterium
Lineage: Bacteria
Description: partial 16S ribosomal RNA
Rfam family: Bacterial small subunit ribosomal RNA
Source: RNAcentral
GAUGAACGCUGGCGGCGUGCCUAAUACAUGCAAGUCGAGCGAACAGACGAGGAGCUUGCUCCUCUGACGUUAGCGGCGGACGGGUGAGUAACAUGUGGAUAACCUACCUAUAAGACUGGGAUAACUUCGGGAAACCGGAGCUAAUACCGGAUAAUAUAUUGAACCGCAUGGUUCAAUAGUGAAAGACGGUUUUGCUGUCACUUAUAGAUGGAUCCGCGCCGCAUUAGCUAGUUGGUAAGGUAACGGCUUACCAAGGCGACGGUGCGUAGCCGACCUGAGAGGGUGAUCGGCCACACUGGAACUGAGACACGGUCCAGACUCCUACGGGAGGCAGCAGUAGGGAAUCUUCCGCAAUGGGCGAAAGCCUGACGGAGCAACGCCGCGUGAGUGAUGAAGGUCUUCGGAUCGUAAAACUCUGUUAUUAGGGAAGAACAAAUGUGUAAGUAACUAUGCACGUCUUGACGGUACCUAAUCAGAAAGCCACGGCUAACUACGUG